UGUGACCUCAAAUCAGGUAGGACUACCCGCUGAACUUAAGCAUAUCAAUAAGCGGAGGAAAAGAAACUAACAAGGAUUCCCCUAGUAACUGCGAGUGAAGCGGGAAAAGCUCAAAUUUAAAAUCUGGCGGUCUUUUGGCUGUCCGAGUUGUAAUCUAGAGAAGUGUUAUCCGCGCUGGACCGUGUACAAGUCUCCUGGAAUGGAGCAUCAUAGAGGGUGAGAAUCCCGUCUUUGACAUGGACUGCCAGGGCUUUGUGAUGCGCUCUCAAAGAGUCGAGUUGUUUGGGAAUGCAGCUCAAAAUGGGUGGUAAAUUCCAUCUAAAGCUAAAUAUUGGCGAGAGACCGAUAGCGAACAAGUACCGUGAGGGAAAGAUGAAAAGAACUUUGGAAAGAGAGUUAAACAGUACGUGAAAUUGCUGAAAGGGAAACGCUUGAAGUCAGUCGCGUCGUCCAGGGAUCAACCUUGCUUUUGCCUGGUGCACUUCCUGGUUUGACGGGUCAGCAUCAAUUUUGACCAUUGGAAAAAGGCUUAGGGAAUGUGGCAUCUUCGGAUGUGUUAUAGCCCUGGGUCACAUACAAUGGUUGGGAUUGAGGAACUCAGCACGCCGCAAGGCCGGG
RNAcentral lists this ribosomal RNA (618 nucleotides) under Cortinarius decipiens. Its description in RNAcentral is "eukaryotic LSU rRNA". It matches the Rfam family "Eukaryotic large subunit ribosomal RNA", at positions 1 to 615 of the family's 3401-position model. The record is from RNAcentral. Lineage: Eukaryota; Fungi; Basidiomycota; Agaricomycetes; Agaricales; Cortinariaceae.